GAUGAACGCUGACAGAAUGCUUAACACAUGCAAGUCUUUGGCGAAGCUGUGCUUGCACAGCCUAGCCAGGGCGGACGGGUGGGUAACGCGUCAGGAACUUGCCCUGCAGUCAGGGAUAACAGACGGAAACGACUGAUAAGACCUGGUAAAGUCAGGCGGACUCAUGUCCAGCCUGAUGAAAAGAGAUGCUGCAGGAGAGCCUUGCGUCCUAUUAGCUUGUUGGUGGGGUAACGGCCCACCAAGGCGAUGAUAGGUAGCCGGCCUGAGAGGGUGGACGGCCACAAGGGGACUGAGAUACGGCCCUUACUCCUACGGGAGGCAGCAGUGGGGAAUAUUGGACAAUGGGGGCAACCCUGAUCCAGCAAUUCUGUGUGCACGAUGAAGGUUUUCGGAGUGUAAAGUGCUUUCAGCAGGGAAGAAAAAAAUGACGGUACCUGCAGAAGAAGCGACGGCUAAAUACGUG
RNAcentral lists this ribosomal RNA (463 nucleotides) under uncultured bacterium. Its description in RNAcentral is "partial 16S ribosomal RNA". It matches the Rfam family "Bacterial small subunit ribosomal RNA", at positions 28 to 507 of the family's 1533-position model. The record is from RNAcentral.